UGGGGAAUUUUGGACAAUGGGGGCAACCCUGAUCCAGCAAUGUCGCGUGAGUGAAGAAGGCCUUCGGGUUGUAAAGCUCUUUUGUCAGGGAAGAAACAGCAGCUCUAACACAGCUGUGAAUGACGGUACCUGAAGAAUAAGCACCGGCUAACUACGUGCCAGCAGCCGCGGUAAUACGUAGGGUGCAAGCGUUAAUCGGAAUUACUGGGCGUAAAGCGUGCGCAGGCGGUUAUACAAGACAGGCGUGAAAUCCCCGGGCUUAACCUGGGAAUUGCGUCUGUGACUGUAUGGCUAGAGUGUGUCAGAGGGGGGUAGAAUUCCACGUGUAGCAGUGAAAUGCGUAGAUAUGUGGAGGAAUACCAAUGGCGAAGGCAGCCCCCUGGGAUAACACUGACGCUCAUGCACGAAAGCGUGGGGAGCAAACAGGAUUAGAUACCCUGGUAGUCCACGCCCUAAACGAUGCUGACUAGUUGUUCGGGAUUUUAUCCUGAGUAACGUAGCUAACGCGUGAAGUCAGCCGCCUGGGGAGUACGGUCGCAAGAUUA
Molecule: ribosomal RNA, 545 nt
Filed under: uncultured prokaryote
Description: bacterial SSU rRNA
Rfam family: Bacterial small subunit ribosomal RNA
Source: RNAcentral